Molecule: ribosomal RNA, 430 nt
Filed under: uncultured bacterium
Lineage: Bacteria
Description: bacterial SSU rRNA
Rfam family: Bacterial small subunit ribosomal RNA
Source: RNAcentral
UCGAGAAUCAUUCGCAAUGGGCGAAAGCCUGACGGUGCGACGUCGCGUGGAGGAUGACGGUCUUCGGAUUGUAAACUCCUGUCAUGUGGGAUAAAUAGCCCGGGUGUGAAUAGCACUUGGGACUGAUAGUACCACAGGAGGAAGAGACGGCUAACUCUGUGCCAGCAGCCGCGGUAAUUCAGAGGUCUCGAGCGUUGUUCGGAUUUACUGGGCGUAAAGGGAGCGUAGGCGGACGGGUGUGUCGAAUGUGAAAGCCCACAACUCAACUGUGGAAUGGCAUUCGAAACUACCUGGCUAGAGUACUGGAGAGGAGAGCGGAAUUCUUGGUGUAGCGGUGAAAUGCGUAGAUAUCAAGAGGAACACCGGUGGCGAAGGCGGCUCUCUGGACAGAUACUGACGCUGAGGCUCUAAAGUUAGGGGAGCAAACAGG